GAUGAACGCUGGCGGCGUGCUUAACACAUGCAAGUCGAACGAAGCACUCUAUUUGAUUUUCUUCGGAAAUGAAGAUUUUGUGACUGAGUGGCGGACGGGUGAGUAACGCGUGGGUAACCUGCCUCAUACAGGGGGAUGACAGUUGGAAACGACUGCUAAUACCGCAUAAGCGCACAGGAUCGCAUGAUCCGGUGUGAAAAACUCCGGUGGUAUGAGAUGGACCCGCGUCUGAUUAGCCAGUUGGCAGGGUAACGGCCUACCAAAGCGACGAUCAGUAGCCGACCUGAGAGGGUGACCGGCCACGAUUGGGACUGAGACACGGCCCAAAUCCUACGGGAGGCAGCAGUGGGAAUAUUGCACAAUGGGGGAAACCCUGAUGCAGCGACGCCGCGUGAGCGAAGAAGUAUUUCGGAUGUAAAGCUCUAUCAGCAGGG
This 434-nucleotide ribosomal RNA is filed under the name uncultured bacterium. RNAcentral's name for it is "bacterial SSU rRNA". It matches the Rfam family "Bacterial small subunit ribosomal RNA", at positions 28 to 444 of the family's 1533-position model. The record is from RNAcentral.